GGACAUAGUCUGGUGAUAGAGCACCUGCCUUGCAUGCAGAAGGCCUCAGGUUCAAUCCCUGGCAUCUUCA
This 70-nucleotide transfer RNA is filed under the name Podarcis lilfordi (Lilford's wall lizard). RNAcentral's name for it is "tRNA.Ala". The record is from RNAcentral. Lineage: Eukaryota; Metazoa; Chordata; Lepidosauria; Squamata; Lacertidae.